RNAcentral lists this ribosomal RNA (465 nucleotides) under uncultured bacterium. RNAcentral's name for it is "partial 16S ribosomal RNA". It matches the Rfam family "Bacterial small subunit ribosomal RNA", at positions 28 to 507 of the family's 1533-position model. The record is from RNAcentral.
GACGAACGCUGGCGGCGUGCUUAACACAUGCAAGUCGUACGGUAAGGCCCUUUCGGGGGUACACGAGUGGCGAACGGGUGAGUAACACGUGAGUAACCUGCCCACAACUUUGGGAUAACGCUAGGAAACUGGUGCCAAUACUGGAUAUGUGCUCCUGCUGCAUGGUGGGGGUUGGAAAGCUCCGGCGGUUGUGGAUGGACUCGCGGCCUAUCAGCUUGUUGGUGGGGUAGUGGCCUACCAAGGCGGCGACGGGUAGCCGGCCUGAGAGGGUGACCGGCCACAUUGGGACUGAGAUACGGCCCAGACUCCUACGGGAGGCAGCAGUGGGGAAUAUUGCACAAUGGGCGCAAGCCUGAUGCAGCAACGCCGCGUGCGGGAUGACGGCCUUCGGGUUCUAAACCGCUUUCAGCAGGGACGAAGCUUUUUGUGACGGUACCUGCAGAAGAAGCACCGGCUAACUACGUG